CGCCUUGCCAGCCCGCUCAGAAACUCAAAGGAAUUGAGGGGCCCGCACAAGCGGUGGAGUAUGUGGUUUAAUUCGAUGCAACGCGAAGAACCUUACCUGGUCUUGACAUCCCGGAGACCCUUAGGAAACUAGGGGGUGCUUCCAUCUGGAAGAAUCUGGAGACAGGUGCUGCAUGGCUGUCGUCAGCUCGUGUCGUGAGAUGUUGGGUUAAGUCCCGCAACGAGCGCAACCCUUGCCUUUAGUUGCCAGCAGUUCGGCUGGGCACUCUAAAGGGACUGCCGGUGUUAAACCGGAGGAAGGUGGGGAUGACGUCAAGUCCUCAUGGCCUUUAUGACCAGGGCUACACACGUACUACAAUGGCCGAUACAAAGGGCAGCGACACUGCGAGGUGAAGCCAAUCCCGUAAAAUCGGUCUCAGUCCGGAUUGGAGUCUGCAACUCGACUCCAUGAAGUUGGAAUCGCUAGUAAUCGUGGAUCAGCAUGCCACGGUGAAUACGUUCCCGGGCCUU
RNAcentral lists this ribosomal RNA (509 nucleotides) under uncultured Desulfobulbus sp. RNAcentral's name for it is "bacterial SSU rRNA". It matches the Rfam family "Bacterial small subunit ribosomal RNA", at positions 903 to 1382 of the family's 1533-position model. The record is from RNAcentral. Lineage: Bacteria; Pseudomonadati; Thermodesulfobacteriota; Desulfobulbia; Desulfobulbales; Desulfobulbaceae.